GUCUCUUUGUUUAAUUAAAUAUAAGGAGUCGAGCCUGCCCAGUGACUAAUAUGUUAAACGGCCGCGGUACCCUAACUGUGCGAAGGUAGCAUAAUCAUUUGCCUUUUAAUUGGAGGCUUGUAUGAACGGCUUGACGAGAACUGAUCUGUCUCUUUUGAAAUAUUUAGAAAUUAACAUUUAGGUGAAGAGGCCUAAAUAUAGUUGAGGGACAAGAAGACCCUAUUGAGCUUUAAUAUAAUAAUAAACCUAUCAACCUUUGGUGAAUUUUAAUUGUGUGUUAGCAUAGCAAAUAUUUUAUUAUUAAUUUUUAGUUGGGGCGACUGAGGAACAAAUAAAACUUCCUUUAACAUGAUGUUUAAAUGAAAGCUGUUUUAAUAAAGAUCCAGUAAAUUAAUACUGAUUAAAGGAAAAAGUUACCGUAGGGAUAACAGCGUAAUUUUCCUGGAGAGAUCUUAUCGAAAGGAAUGUUUGCGACCUCGAUGUUGGACUAAGAUACCCAGAAGGUGCAGACGCUUUCGACGGUUGGUCUGUUCGACCAUUAAAAUCUU
Molecule: ribosomal RNA, 548 nt
Filed under: Kaiparathina boucheti
Lineage: Eukaryota; Metazoa; Mollusca; Gastropoda; Trochida; Turbinidae
Description: partial 16S ribosomal RNA
Rfam family: Bacterial large subunit ribosomal RNA
Source: RNAcentral